GUGCUCAUUUUAGCAGCAUGUAUACUUAAAUUAGAAUGACACAGAGAAAAUUAACAUGUCUCCCAUGUAAAGAUGACAUGCAAAUUCGUGAAGCAUUCCAUAUUAUC
This 107-nucleotide small nuclear RNA is filed under the name Carlito syrichta (Philippine tarsier). Lineage: Eukaryota; Metazoa; Chordata; Mammalia; Primates; Tarsiidae. The record is from RNAcentral.